AAUGAAGUGCCUGAUUUAAAAGGGUUAUUUUGAUAGAAUAAAUUAUGUAAAUUCCAACUACCUUCAUUA
RNAcentral lists this transfer RNA (69 nucleotides) under Pheletes quercus. RNAcentral's name for it is "tRNA-Ile". Lineage: Eukaryota; Metazoa; Arthropoda; Insecta; Coleoptera; Elateridae. The record is from RNAcentral.